Molecule: ribosomal RNA, 118 nt
Filed under: Pteropus alecto (black flying fox)
Lineage: Eukaryota; Metazoa; Chordata; Mammalia; Chiroptera; Pteropodidae
Also listed under: 1 other name
Source: RNAcentral
GUCUAUGGCCAUGCUACCCUGAACAAGCCCAAUCUGUCUGAUCUCAGAAGCUAAGCAGGGUGGGGCCUGGUUAGUACUUGGAUAGGAGGCCACCUAGGAAGACCAGGUGCCGUAGGUG